GUGUCAGCCGCCGCGGUAAUACGGAGGGUGCAAGCGUUAUCCGGAAUUACUGGGUUUAAAGGGUGCGUAGGCGGCUUUAUAAGUCAGAGGUGAAAGCCCGCAGCUUAACUGUGGAAUUGCCUUUGAUACUGUAGAGCUUGAAACAGGUUGAGGUUGGCGGAAUGUGACAUGUAGCGGUGAAAUGCAUAGAUAUGUCAUAGAACACCAAUUGCGAAGGCAGCUGACUGGACCUAGUUUGACGCUGAGGCACGAAAGCGUGGGGAGCGAACAGGAUUAGAUACCCUGGUAGUCCACGCCCUAAACGAUGGGUACUAGUCGUCGGAGGUAUCCACCCCUUCGGUGACGAAGCAAACGCAUUAAGUACCCCGCCUGGGGAGUACGGCCGCAAGGUUGAAACUCAAAUGAAUUGGCGGGG
This 415-nucleotide ribosomal RNA is filed under the name uncultured prokaryote. RNAcentral describes it as "bacterial SSU rRNA". It matches the Rfam family "Bacterial small subunit ribosomal RNA", at positions 505 to 918 of the family's 1533-position model. The record is from RNAcentral.